Molecule: long non-coding RNA, 3967 nt
Filed under: Theobroma cacao (cacao)
Lineage: Eukaryota; Viridiplantae; Streptophyta; Magnoliopsida; Malvales; Malvaceae
Description: long non-coding RNA (TCAC_LNC004819)
Source: RNAcentral
UAAGUCAUAUAUCAUAACUUAGAAUCAAAAUGAUAUUAAGCAUUGCCACUUCAUACUAGCAUACCAAAUAGGUGUAUAUACACUAUCUACACAUGUAUCUUAAUAAUUCACAUUAGGUUCGUCUAUACACAACAAAAGGAGACUCGAUGUCCAGUGGAGAGACUCAGACGAAUGUACAGCUACUGAAUGCUGAGACACUUACCAAAAGUCGAGUCUACAAAGGUACCUCGACCUAGUUACUGGCUGUCUCUUAAUCUGAAAACAUGAAGUUGAAAGCGGUGAGCAUAAACUCAGUGAGUGAACAAAAAAGGAACAAGCAUACCAUAAGGAAUGUUUAUCGAAAUCAUGAUGCACUCAUUUUCUCAAAACAAUGCAAUUUGUUCUAGUUCUUAGUAGAACCCCUCAUGUAAACCCCUCAUGAGUAAAUCACUUAAAAGAUCCAUACUCAACUAUGGUACCAAAGAAUCAAAAAAUCUACCAAAACCCACAAGUUCGCCAAAAUGGACAGAAAGUUUCUCAUUGCAGCGAACUUCAUUCUCGCUGCAGCGAGAACCAAGUCUGGUGAAGGCCCUCAAACUCGAGAAUUUCUCGCUACAGCGAGAAUAAAUCUCACUGCAGCGAGGAUCAGAACAUCAAGGAAAAAGUCUCAUUUUCCCUUAAAACAAGCCAUCUUGCUAAAAUAACAAUAGCAACAUGUAACACUUGUAAACUCCCAAAUUUCAACAAAUCAAAUGCUCACAUAUUUGCAUUUACAACCAUAUACCCAUCAUCAUCAUGCACACCAUCCCAUCAUCAUCAUUCCCAGCUCAUGCACACUCCCUACUCACACAUGGCUAGGUCAUCACCGGGUUAUGCGCACUCCCUACUUGCACAUAACCGGGUCAUCACCGGGUUAUGUGCACUCCCUACUCGCACAUAACCAGGUCAUCAUCGGCUUAUGCGCACUCCCUACUCGCACAUAGUCGAGUCAAUAUCAUUACACAACAAUGUAUUCAUAUAUAUAUAUCAACACAAUGUGGUAGUGCAUGAAUCAAUAAUAGUCACAUGUCACAACAUGAAGACAAUCUAUCAAAAGCUUGUUCCCAAGGCACUUGUUUUUAUGAAAAGCUGGAUAAUCCAUUUAAAUGUUUGACAAAUACAUUAUAUCCCCAAAACAAGUUUUGAAAUGCAAGUCCACUCACCGAUAUUGGGAGUAGAAAUAUUCCUAUUUUCAGUCCGCGGGUAUAGUCCUUUACCCGUAUCCAAUGGCUCACCACCUAGCCAUAAUCCAUGACACAUAUUCCAAUUAAAUUAUGUCUAAUAGUCAUAAGCUAUUUCAGGCUCGAUAUAUAUAUGAUAUGAAAUUAAAAAUGCACAAGUGGGCAUCUAGACUCGGUAUUGGCGUAAGUCGAUUUUUCAUCCGAUAAAUUAGCCAAUGUGUCCAAUUUCACUCCAACUUGCUCCAUUUCUUUUUCAAUCCCUCAAUUCACCAAGCACAAACUAAUUAACACACAAUUAGGCAAAAUUUAUCUUCAUUUUUCUUCUUGGAACUUUGGCCAACAAUGGUACACUAACUCUGUGAUUUUUCCUACUUAAUUUUCUCACCAUUAUUCAUUAAUUCCUACACCAAAAACUAUUAUUUCUUAAUCAAAUCACCUAGAAUAACAUCCCAUUCUUCCUCAUUAUUCACUUAGAGAAUUCGGCUAUUGAUGGGCACCAAACCUUUGGUGGUUUUCUUCACUUGUUUUCAUGCUACACAUCAUUAAUCACCUAAAAACACUAACAUACCUAAAAAUCAAACCAAUCCAAGAUCAUUCUCUCUCCAUACCCAUUUUGACUACCACUUAUUCACUAUGAAAUCAUGUUUCUCAACCAUAGAAAUAAGAAAAUAAAGCAUGGGUAUUGUAAAUCUCAAGUAAAAAUAAAGAAUUUUCACUUUACCUUGCUUAAUUCCUUGGAAUCCCACACUUUUUCUUCAAUUUUCCCACCUAGGGUUUGUGUUCUUUCCUUUCCUCUUCACUUCAUGCUUUGGCCAGCCAUAUGAGUGAGACUAAGAGAGUUUUAGAUAGAUUUUACAAGGCAAUUCUAGAACGAUCCAAGCUUGACACAUGGCAUGUUUCCAUUGGUCCAUGUGUAAUACUUAUCCAUUAAGCAAUCUCUCUCCACCAUAUAAAAUGUUUCAAUUAUCCACAAUGUAAAAUGUUAAUGGCUGAAAUCCAUGGGCAUGACAAGUGUCAGGUGGUGUAAAAUUCCAAAAAUUCCCAUUUUGUCCUCGAGUGACAAAAUUACCAUUUUGCCCCUAGAACAUAAAAAUCAUCAAAAUUUUUAUUUCCUUAUCAUUUCACCCAUAUUUUCAUCAUUCAUUUAUGCUUUAGGCCUACUUAAGCCAUAAUAUUAUUUAAAACUUACUUUUAUGGGCUUAUUGAGAAAAUGACGAAAUUACCCCUGAUUAGGGAUAUCGCGUAUAUUUCUAUCUACGAGUCUAUAAAAGUCAAGGUCUCACAUUCUCCCCCACUUAAAGAAAUUAGGUCCUCGAAUUUAAAUUCAACUAUAAGGUGACUUACCUCUAUGCAACAAGAAUGUGGGGAUACUUUGUCCGCAUAUCCUUAUCGGCCUCCCAUGUUACCUCUUCACUCCAUCUGUGCCUUUGGUAAACAUUUUUCCUUUUCUUGCUUGAGGAUUCUAUAAGGCCUUAACUACAAACUCAUCUUUACCUUGUGUUUCUUUAAUCUUGUCCAUUAAAAUAGGCCUCACUCUAAAAUAUGCUAGCUCGACUGAUCGGACACUAGAGCAUCCCAAACCCUUACAUAUUUUCUCAUUCUAAUCUAAAAAGAUCUGGGGCUUCUCUAAGGCAUCAGACCCUGAAAAUGAUGAAGGCUUAAGCUUAAGAAAACCAGGAAGAGAAAUCUCUAAGUGAUCCCUUUCAACCUCAUGAUAUUGGCGGUCGGCUUGUCCUUGGGAGCUAGGGGAUUCUUGCACUGUAGGUCUCCCCUCUACUGCCCUCUGUAUAUCCUCCAUACGGGUUGCCAUCAUCUCUACAACCCGAUUAACUCCUUGUAGGGCUGCCACCAAAUCUUCAAAGGUAAUACCCUCAACUGGGUGUCUAUCUACAUCACUUGAGGGUUGUCCCUCAUCUCGCUUACUCACAAGCGUAUCCACCUUCACUGGCCUAUUGGCCCUGCCAUGUCUACCUCGGCCCCUUAAGGUGGAUGCCCGUGGCCUAUCUGCCAUCUCAAUAGGAGCAUCUUGCUCCCCCAUCCGUCUUGAGGCUGCUCGUGUCUUAGGCGACAUUCUUACCAAGGCAAGAGCAAACACCUAUUACUAAACACAUUUCAUAAUCAUACUUAAGGAAAAAGGUGGUUUCUAAGAUAGGGAAUCUAUGCGGUCCCUUGGUUGUAAAAUGCACCGCGGUUCACACUUCACAACCGAAGUUCCCACAUAAAAACCUGACAUUUCGCUGGACCAACAAAUGGAAGUCCUAGGACCUAGACAAACCUAGAGCUCUGAUACCAACUUUAAUCACGACUCAAAUUUUGGGCCAUGACCGGCGCAUAGGCCGAAUGGAUGUAGUCCACUAAGCCCAAGCAAGCCUAUUAAUCUGAUAUGUUCAUCAUUCCAUCAUAAACUACUAAGUCAUAUAUCAUAACUUAGAAUCAAAAUGAUAUUAAGCAUUGCCACUUCAUACUGGCAUACCAAACAGGUGUAUAUACACUGUCUACACAUGUAUCUUAAUAAUUCACAUUAGGUUCGUCUAUACACAACAAAAGGAGACUCGAUGUCCAGCGGAGAGACUCGGACGAAUGUACAGCUACUGAAUGUUGAGACACCUACCAAAAGUCGAGUUUGCAAAGGUACCUCGACCUAGUUACCGGUUGUCUCUUAAUCUGAAAACAUGAAGUUGAAAGCGGUGAGCAUAAACUCAGUGAGUGAACAAGAAGGGAACAAGCAUACCAUAAGGAAUGUUUAUCGAAAUCAUGAUGCACUCAUU